GGAGUUAGCCGGUGCUUCUUCUGUGAGUGAUGUCCUUCCUGCCGGCUAUUAACCCGCAGGCCUUCUUCCUCACUGAAAGUGCUUUACAACCCGAAGGCCUUCUUCACACACGCGGCAUGGCUGGAUCAGGGUUGCCCCCAUUGUCCAAUAUUCCCCACUGCUGCCUCCCGUAGGAGUCUGGGCCGUGUCUCAGUCCCAGUGUGGCUGAUCAUCCUCUCAGACCAGCUACGGAUCGUCGCCUUGGUGAGCCGUUACCUCACCAACCAGCUAAUCCGACAUAGGCUCAUCCGAUAGCGCGAGGCCCGAAGGUCCCCCGCUUUCCCCCGUAGGGCGUAUGCGGUAUUAGCCUGGGUUUCCCCAGGUUAUCCCCCACUACCGGGCAGAUUCCUAUGCAUUACUCACCCGUACGCCGCUCGCCACCAGGGAGCAAGCUCCCCGUGCUGCCGCUCGACUUGCAUGUGUUAGGCCUGCCGCCAGCGUUCAAUCUGAGCCAUANNAACAACUNACACNGNGGCGGNGUCGACGACGGCGACUAG
This 536-nucleotide ribosomal RNA is filed under the name uncultured bacterium. RNAcentral's name for it is "partial 16S ribosomal RNA". The record is from RNAcentral.